UACGGAAGGCAGCAGUGGGGAAUAUUGCACAAUGGGCGCAAGCCUGAUGCAGCCAUGCCGCGUGUAUGAAGAAGGCCUUCGGGUUGUAAAGUACUUUCAGUCGUGAGGAAGGUGUUAAGGUUAAUAACCUUAGCAAUUGACGUUAGCGACAGAAGAAGCACCGGCUAACUCCGUGCCAGCAGCCGCGGUAAUACGGAGGGUGCGAGCGUUAAUCGGAAUUACUGGGCGUAAAGGGCACGCAGGCGGUUAAUUAAGUUGGAUGUGAAAUCCCCGGGCUUAACCUGAGAAUGGCAUUCAAGACUGGUUAGCUAGAGUCUUGUAGAGGGGGUAGAAUUCCAUGUGUAGCGGUGAAAUGCGUAGAGAUGUGGAGGAAUACCGGUGGCGAAGGCGGCCCCUGGGACAAAGACUGACGCUCAUGUGCGAAAGCGUGGGGAGCAAACAGGGAUUAGAUACC
Molecule: ribosomal RNA, 454 nt
Filed under: uncultured bacterium
Lineage: Bacteria
Description: bacterial SSU rRNA
Rfam family: Bacterial small subunit ribosomal RNA
Source: RNAcentral